This 254-nucleotide ribosomal RNA is filed under the name uncultured bacterium. Its description in RNAcentral is "partial 16S ribosomal RNA". It matches the Rfam family "Bacterial small subunit ribosomal RNA", at positions 524 to 776 of the family's 1533-position model. The record is from RNAcentral.
UACAGAGGUCUCAAGCGUUGUUCGGAUUCAUUGGGCGUAAAGGGUGCGUAGGUGGCGCCGUAAGUCGGGUGUGAAAUUUCGGAGCUUAACUCCGAAACUGCAUUCGAUACUGCGGUGACUGGAGUACGGUAGAGGAGUGUGGAAUUCCUGGUGUAGCGGUGAAAUGCGCAGAUAUCAGGAGGAACACCAACGGCGAAGGCAGCACUCUGGGCCGGUACUGACGCUGAGGAGCGAAAGCGUGGGGAGCAAACAGG